Molecule: unclassified non-coding RNA, 253 nt
Filed under: uncultured Cyclobacteriaceae bacterium
Lineage: Bacteria; Pseudomonadati; Bacteroidota; Cytophagia; Cytophagales; Cyclobacteriaceae
Description: contains 16S-23S intergenic spacer region
Rfam family: Bacterial small subunit ribosomal RNA
Source: RNAcentral
UACGGAUGGUGCAAGCGUUGUCCGGAUUUAUUGGGCUUAAAGGGUGCGUAGGCGGGUUAAUAAGUCAGUGGUGAAAGCCGACAGCUCAACUGUCGAACUGCCAUUGCUACUGUUAGCCUUGAGUAUAGUUGAGGUAGGCGGAAUGGAAGGUGUAGCGGUGAAAUGCAUAGAUAUCUUCCAGAACACCGAUAGCGUAGGCAGCUUACUAGGCUAUAACUGACGCUGAGGCACGAAAGCGUGGGGAGCGAACAGG